RNAcentral lists this transfer RNA (76 nucleotides) under Ruminococcus sp. RNAcentral describes it as "tRNA-Asn". It matches the Rfam family "tRNA". Rfam says of the family: Transfer RNA (tRNA) molecules are approximately 80 nucleotides in length. Their secondary structure includes four short double-helical elements and three loops (D, anti-codon, and T loops). Further hydrogen bonds mediate the characteristic L-shaped molecular structure. tRNAs have two regions of fundamental functional importance: the anti-codon, which is responsible for specific mRNA codon recognition, and the 3' end, to which the tRNAs corresponding amino acid is attached (by aminoacyl-tRNA synthetases). tRNAs cope with the degeneracy of the genetic code in two manners: having more than one tRNA (with a specific anti-codon) for a particular amino acid; and 'wobble' base-pairing, i.e. permitting non-standard base-pairing at the 3rd anti-codon position. Lineage: Bacteria; Bacillati; Bacillota; Clostridia; Eubacteriales; Oscillospiraceae. RNAcentral also lists the same sequence under 1 other name. The record is from RNAcentral.
UCCUCAAUAGCUCAGUCGGUAGAGCGCGUGACUGUUAAUCACGAUGUCGCUGGUUCGAGUCCAGCUUGGGGAGCCA